Molecule: ribosomal RNA, 493 nt
Filed under: uncultured bacterium
Lineage: Bacteria
Description: partial 16S ribosomal RNA
Rfam family: Bacterial small subunit ribosomal RNA
Source: RNAcentral
AUUGAACGCUGGCGGCAUGCUUUACACAUGCAGGUCGAACGGUAACAGGUUAAGCUGACGAGUGGCGAACGGGUGAGUAAUGCAUCGGAACGUGCCCGGUCGUGGGGGAUAACGCAGCGAAAGCUGCGCUAAUACCGCAUACGAUCUAAGGAUGAAAGCGGGGGACUGUAAGGCCUCGCGCGAUCGGAGCGGCCGAUGUCAGAUUAGGUAGUUGGUGGGGUAAAGGCUCACCAAGCCAACGAUCUGUAGCUGGUCUGAGAGGACGACCAGCCACACUGGGACUGAGACACGGCCCAGACUCCUACGGGAGGCAGCAGUGGGGGAUUUUGGACAAUGGGCGAAAGCCUGAUCCAGCAAUGCCGCGUGCAGGAAGAAGGCCUUCGGGUUGUAAACUGCUUUUGUACGGAGCGAAAAGGUCUCCUCUAAUACAGGGGGCUCAUGACGGUACCGUAAGAAUAAGCACCGGCUAACUACGUGCCAGCCGCCGCCGUAA